UACGUAGGGACCAAGCGUUGUUCGGAUUUACUGGGCGUAAAGGGCGCGUAGGCGGCAAUUCAAGUCAUCUGUGAAAUCUCCGGGCUUAACUCGGAACGGUCAGAUGAUACUGCUUUGCUCGAGUGCGGAAGGGGCAAUCGGAAUUCUUGGUGUAGUGGUGAAAUGCGUAGAUAUCGGGAGGAACACCAGUGGCGAAGGCGACUUCCUGGCCUGUUCUUGACGCUGAGGCGCGAAAGCUAGGGGAGCAAACGGG
Molecule: ribosomal RNA, 253 nt
Filed under: uncultured bacterium
Lineage: Bacteria
Description: partial 16S ribosomal RNA
Rfam family: Bacterial small subunit ribosomal RNA
Source: RNAcentral